UAAAACAUCACGGGGCGCUGUAAAAGGCUGAGAAGUUACCCGUUUUACCUGAACAGGAUAAUGCCUGCGUAGGAAUGAUGAUAGAUAUUUUC
Molecule: non-coding RNA, 92 nt
Filed under: Arachidicoccus ginsenosidimutans
Lineage: Bacteria; Pseudomonadati; Bacteroidota; Chitinophagia; Chitinophagales; Chitinophagaceae
Also listed under: 1 other name
Description: Arachidicoccus sp. BS20 TPP riboswitch aptamer (THI element)
Rfam family: TPP riboswitch aptamer (THI element)
About the family: Vitamin B(1) in its active form thiamin pyrophosphate (TPP) is an essential coenzyme that is synthesised by coupling of pyrimidine and thiazole moieties in bacteria. The previously detected thiamin-regulatory element, thi box was extended, resulting in a new, highly conserved RNA secondary structure, the THI element, which is widely distributed in eubacteria and also occurs in some archaea.
Source: Rfam by way of RNAcentral